Rattus norvegicus (Norway rat) is the source of this 6750-nucleotide non-coding RNA. Lineage: Eukaryota; Metazoa; Chordata; Mammalia; Rodentia; Muridae. The record is from RefSeq and is a predicted model, not a curated record.
UUUAUUUUAUGUGAAUAGACGUUUUGCCUGCAUAUCUGUGCACCACAUAUGUCUCUGGUACUCAGGGAGGACAGAAGAGGGUAUUGGAUCUCCUGGAACUGGACUUACAGACUGUUGUGAGCCACUAUGUGGAUGCUGGAAAUUGAAAUUGGGUCCUCAGAAAGAAUAACAAGGCCUCUUAACUGCUAAGCCAUUUCUCCGGCCCUGAAUUAUGAGAUUUAAAUAAAGCAUUUCAGAGUCAUCCACCUACAAUGCAGGAGCAUAUACCUGAGACGGAGAAGAACCAUGAUGUUUUCAUUUAGUCCUGUUACAGACUUGCUGUGUGACCUUGAGGAGAUGAUUUUCAUAUCUCCGAGUCUUAGUUUUCAAUUAUAAAAUUAGGAUCUGGACUUAAAACUGUAUAGGAACUCUUAAUCACGUAAUGAAGGCACUCAGCCUAAAAUUAAUUCCAGACUAUUUUUAAAUGCUUUGAAAUAUUUAGAGCUGGUUUCAAAUAAGUGGCAAGUGCAGCUUUGCAGGGAGGUAGCUAGAAUAACAGCUCACAGCUGAGUGUGGAUGCGUCCAGGAGGCCAGAGCAAGGGGCAGGGCUAUGUCACCUGACUCUUGAUCUACAUGUAAAUUAAAAAUGCAUGCCCGGCUGCAGGAGGACACCUGGUGAAUUAGUGAUGGCCCUCAAUGUCUUCAUUGCAGAGUGGACAGGGAUCUGGGCAGGGGGAGGGGCCGGGUAGUGAGGCCCCAGUGAGGAACAGUGUAACCAGAACCCGGUUAGAAGUGGAAGCACACCCGACAGUGGGCGUCACCAUGACACAGCAAUCUGCGGCCGAUUAUUGGGUAAGCAUGUUUCAUUUAGCAGAUGUGGGGGCUGAGGCUGUGCCUCUCACACCACCAGAGCAUAGGGAGGCCAAGCCCUAGCCUUCUGACUCACUGUUUCUCACAGAAAACAGAGACUCAAUGGCCAGCAAGGGCGGACCCAACCAGGGAACCUCUACAGGCAGAAAGGAGAAUGGAGGAGGGGUGUCUCCCUCCCCUCUCUCCCUCCUUCCCGCUGUCCACCUCUCCCCACCCCAGAACCACCUGACUGACUGUGUUGUCUUGAGUCCUCCAGGGAUGGCUCUGAUGGAUCCCCAUGACUUGAGAACUAGAAGUGUAGCCUAGGAGGAGACACCUCAGCUUGAUGGUGAAGUGGCUGAAGAAAACACACAGGGAGAAGCCUCUUCCUGCCCCUUCCUACCCUUUCCAGCCCCUGCCCUUUGCCGCAUUACUUCUCUUCCUGCCUCUUGUCCACAGAGUCCAUGUAAGACUGCAGUGGCUUCCUGCUCUGCUCCUCAGAGUCCUAGAGAAAUACCAAGGCUCAGCCAGGUGAGGACAGGCCUUGGCACUUGUCAUAUCGAUGGAGACAUAAUUGGUGGAGACACUGAGAUGACUUGGCUUGAGGAGACCCUCAAGAAUACAUACAGACACGAAAAGGCUGCCUUCAACUUCCCAACAAGAAGAGAGGAGCUGAAGAACUUUCUGGAAAGCAAGGUUCAUGCCCACAUCCCUGCAUCACUUAAAGUCCUCAGCCAAUACUCUAACAACACAAUUCAGGCAAACACGACAGUGAGUAUGGACUGGCCGCCAUGCUGAACUAUACAGAGUUGAAUGUGCGCUUCUCCGUUGCUAGGGAACACCCUUCCCCACAGCACCCAGUGUAAAACUUCUCUUAAGAUGCCCAAUGUUUAAUGUAACAACUUACCUAAGAAGCAGGCCUGGGAAUCUGAAAGGGGGCAUUGCCCCCAUCCUCUUUCUCUGGGCUUUCAUCACAGCCUAAAGUCCAACAGCCGCUGUGAGUUUCUGCCAGAUUUGUACCAUAGAUGAGAGGAGUUGUGGAAUUCACUCUGCAUCUCUGGACUUUAGGAGAACCUCUGAAUACCUCUGGGACUGAUAUCAGCACGUGGAGUCAGACUCUACCUUCUGUCUGUGUGUGCUAAGUCAGGACAACGUCACUGUUUCUUGUGGCAUUGCUGCCAUGUCACAGCCAUGAUUGCUGGCACAUUCCUGGUCAGUCUGUGCUGUGGGUGGAGGAGGGACCAUGGCUCCUCUAUCCAAGAAACGUAAGGCUGGUGAGUAACAGAGACACCAAGCAAGUAAGUUCUGGAUGGAUGGAGCUAUGGAAGUCACAGAGGGAGAAAGCCAGGCCUUGGAUCUCAGAGUGCUCAACACUCCUCAAAAGACUUGCUGAGGAGGGAUGGGGGCAAAGGGAUGUGGGGCUAGAAAGAUGGCCUCGUGGUUAAGAGCACUGGCAUCUCCUCUAGAGGACCCAGGCUUAAUUCCCAGCUCCCUCAUGACAUCUUACAACUGUCUACAACUCCAUUGCCAGGAGAUCUUAUGCCCCCUUGAGGCCUCCGUAGGCACUGCAUGCACAUGGUACACAGAUACGCACAGACAAAUACGCAUACGCGAUAGUUUUACUUCCUGAUGAACGCUGAAGGGAAAGAUGGGAGCAUCCCACUCCUCCUGGGUCAGAUCCUCCCUCUCAUGCUUCUCACCCAGCGUCAAAAAGAGCCUUUGAGCUACGUGGCACAGAACAUAACGCACCGCCGUAGGAAGAGCCUAACACGUGGUCGGAGAUGAUCUAGACUCCAAUCCCAGCUUUGCCACUGGGAAGCCCCUACAAGCUCAGAGGAUAAUGACUCCCAUCCCCACUCCCAGGGUCAUCGUGGGGAUGCAUGAGACCACUUCCGCGAAGUUGCUUCUCAGACUUUGCGGCUUUAUUCUCCCCGCAGUUGCUCUUUCACAAGGCUUUGCCCAUUCUGGACCUGAGCCGUUUCUGACACUAACACAGAUCCCUGCUUCUUGGACCUUUUGCCACCUACCGCGCCCUCCCAUCCUUUCAUCUUAGCUUGUGUUUGUUUAAGGUUGGUCUCAAUUGCCCCGGCAACAUGCCGCUUCCUUCACUGCUUCCUCCCAGUGCUCUUUGGUUGGGAUUCAAAGAGGUCACGAUACAGGUUAGGGCAUCACCCGAAGUUCACUAUGCGCAAGUCGACUUAAAACCCAAACCUUGGACUCUUUCCCAUUUUUACAAAGUCCAUUUAAGCCAGAUGAAAGCUGACUCUGUGCAGCUGAGGCCAGAAAGGACUAGUUUAGCCCUUAGCUUUUCCACGGAGUCAAUCUCAUUCAGGGGUAGCCCUAGAAGAACCAUCUGGAAACUAUGAGGAUCAGGAUUCCCCUGAGAGUCAAAGACGACCUUUCAAACCCUCAACAGCGACUGGUCUACUCAUCUUCUCCUUCAAAGCCACCUUAGUGCUCUCAAACCCAACUCAAAACAGGCCUGGCCAAGUAUUAUGGAAAUGUUGACCCGUCAGGAUUUACUUAAAUCCUCCUUGCUUGUGGGCCUCCAAAGACAAAGCUGUAUCCAUGGCAACCACAGGAGGACCCAGCAGAAGAGAGCUGUACCCAGACACUAAGCAUUAUAGCUGUUUACUGAUGACUAAGGACUUAAAAGCCUUGAGAGUGGGCCAGACUCCAGGCUGCCCCCAUCCUUCCAAGACCAUCGGCUAUAAUCAGAGACCAAAAAAAAAAAAAAAAAGUUUCCCAGCCUUGGGAUGGGCCACUUGCUCCCAUGGCUUGGGACAGUACUGCAGGAAAUAGUGGGCCUCACUGAGAGGAAAACUGGAUUUAAGAAAGUCAUGGGGGACCCUGGAGCCCUAGAGCACAGGAGCUUUUCCUGCUCAGUUCUAACUAGGGGACAAUGGCUUCAGGGGCAGGAUCUUCUCCAGAUGUGAUCCCUUUGGACCUGAGAGGCACGGACAGCCAGAGCAAGCUUAGCUAGAGUUUGUAUAUCCAAGUGGUUUGGGAUUUCCCCAGACUCCAUGCAAUGGGAGCCUUAUUCAGUCAGUCUUUUCCAUGGGCCAAUAUAAACCUGGUAAUGGCUCCUUGGGCAUCAGGAGGCCUGUCUGGUUCGGGAUAAUUCAUCUAAACAUCCCACUUGAAGUUCCUUGACUUCCAAACCCUCAUAACCAGCCUUACAGAAACUUCCAGACUCAAGCCAUAUAAGUCAUUCAAAGUUAAGCUCCACACACAUGUGAGAAUUUUGAUCCCAGUGUCUGCUACCCAGACCAGGUUGGAGAGAGGGAAUCCUGUGUGCAAGUCCUGGGAAGGCUCUUAACUGCCAUUGCGUGGGGUGUUAGAUGGGAAAGAACCAGUGCGUGAUCUCUACAAACUACAAGGGGAACCUGGGGUUUUGUUUUUACUUUUGGUUUGGUUUUUGAUAGCUUCUUCCAUUUUUCAGGCUAGCCUAGGAUCAUGGUAUAGCCAAACAUCUUUGGCUUGAACUCCCAGGUGCUGGGAUUGCAGUUGCAAGCCACCAUGUUUGGCUUGGCUUUUUUUUUUUCUCUUAGUGGAGAAGGUCGAAUACAAGAAAGAGCGGAGGGCAAAUGGAAGUCCCUCUGGAUACUUCCCAGCUUGCAAUAACAGCUCCUAAGGAGGACUGUAGCAACUGGACAUAGUGAUACACACCUUCUAUCCCAGCACCCAGGGGGCAGAGACAGGUGGAUCUGUGUGAGUUUGAGGCCAGCUGGGUCUACAUAGUGAGUUCCUGGACAGCCAGAGAUACACAGUGAGACCCUGUCCCAAAAAAAGAAAACAGAAAAAGAGGACCAUGGGUCUGUACCGAGGCUUCCAGAGGCUCUGUCACUGCUGAAAUUCAUCCCUGAGAGUGACUCUGGUUCUGAAGGGACAGUCUCAACGGGCCCUAGCUGGAAAUUUAAGAUUAUCAUAACUAUCUUGGUGAAUAAACUCUUAGUGAUGGUUUGUUCCCUUUGGCUGUGGGGGGUGGGAGGUAGGAACCAUGAUAAACACACAAACCCAAGCCAGUUGCUGCGUGUGCCAAGUACACAGUCAAUCAAGAAGCAGGAACACACGAACAGUUCUCAAUAAAUAGCUGAGCUCUGUUUAUACCCAAGAAACAAUGCUAUCCAUUUCCUCAUACUACAGAUAUCAGGACAAUUUCCCAGUAACCGAUAUGAUGUUUUCGCCUUUAAGUGUAGCACUGACAACCAGGGACAAAGUCACUGAAUGUGUAUUAGAGACAAACCGAGCCAUUGGUCCAGCCUUCUUAUGACAUGAAUCUGUGUGAUGCCAAGGUCCCACACGUGGUCUCAGCCCUGAGCAAGCACAAGGGUGUGCUGGGGCCAGCUGGGGUCAUUAGCCCCUGUUGGCCUUAGUUUGUGGCUCUUGCCUUGAGACUUGGGUGGCCAGGCAGAUCCUUGAGCGGCCAGCACAGGCUGAGGAGGGGUCAGGCUGCAGGCCAGUUAGCCCACACCACUUUUCCUGCACCCAAGGGCGGGCAGGUGGUCCAUCUUCGUAUCCUGAAAUAAAACUUGCUUGCUGUCUGGCCUGGCACAGGAUAUGCUGGUUUUGUGAUACGCAACUUUCUUACUUAAUGGACGUUGUCCAACAUUCAGUAAAUGCUCUAGAUUCUGAAGACGUUUUAGUACAUUACCCUGGUCACCUGGAAUCUUUUCAUCUAAGUAACUAACUCUUUGUCAAAGUAUAGUCUUUUCUUUUUUCUUUUUUUCUGUUCUUUAAGAAAUGAAAUCAGGUGGAGUGCUACUGUUCUUCAAAUCUUACAGGAGGAUAACCAGCAAGGUAACCGAGCCUGACGAUCUGAGUUUGAUUCAUGGGAUCCACAUGGUUAGGGAGCUGAGGCCCACAAAUUGUCCUCUGACUUCCACAUAUGAGUCAUGACAUGCACACCUGUGCAUAUGCGCGCGCACGCGCACGCACACACACACACACACACACACACACACACCACACACACAGGCAUACACAUGAACAAAAAAUAAUUGCUGAGCAAUGGCUGUGCACAUCUUUAAUCCUAGCACUCAGAGGCAGAGGCAGGCAGAUCUCUGAGUUUGAAGCUAUCCUGGUCUACUGAGUGAGUUCAAGGACAGCCAGGGACACACAUACACACACACACACACACACACACACGAAACCCCUGUCUCCAAAAAACAAGUAGUAGUAGUAGUAGUAGUAGUAGUAGUAGUAGUAGUAGUUGUUGUUGUUGUAAUUUAAUAAUAACCUAAGUUAUUAGAAAAGGGAGCUUUCGAUGUAAUUCUUAGGUUUGGAAAGCGUUGGGAAAGUUCAUGAAAAUGAAUUUCUAUGUAGAAAAUCAAGAUCAUUUUACCUCUUACUUAAGUUGUGGCAGAAACAGUGGCAUCUUUCACAGACUGAAAAAGAGACAGAUGUCAGGUAACACAAGUAAAAUCAUAAAAGGGGGAGUGAAAUUCUGUCCACAUUGGCUAAGCAGUCAUAAAAGCAUGAUGAAAAGCUUGGCUUCUCAGAGGCAGCCCUUACCCUCCCAGAUAGGCUCUCCUGGAGAUAACAGAGACACGUGGAAUCAUUCUGCUGCCAAGAUUUCAGACCCAAGAAGUCCGUGUCUGGCCUACUGCUGGAUUGUAUUCCUCUUUCCUCAAGUUUCUCCUCAUCAACCAAAAAAAAAAAAAAAAAAAGCCUACUAGAAAACACACAGCAAGGCCAAGGCCAGUGCUGGAGAGAUGGCUCGGUGGUUGGUCAUGAGCACGUGCUGCUCUUCUAGAGGACCCAGGCUCAGUUGCCAUCACCCAUAUGGUGACCUCUCAGUGAUCUGUGAUACCAGCUCCAAAGGACCCCUCUUCUGGCUCUGCAGACACCAAGCACACAUAUGUAUGGUACAUGCAUAUAUGUAACAUAAAAAGAAACAAUAUUAAAAGUGUUCGCAGCCAG